This is a long non-coding RNA of Spinacia oleracea (spinach), 754 nucleotides long. RefSeq lists it as uncharacterized. The record is from RefSeq and is a predicted model, not a curated record. The transcript has 6 exons. Lineage: Eukaryota; Viridiplantae; Streptophyta; Magnoliopsida; Caryophyllales; Amaranthaceae.
CUCUUCCAAGUCGUUGUUUUCGAUUUUCUUCGAAUUCCAACAAAUUAUUACUAAGUAGGUGUAAAUUGUCAAUAUACAACGACACUUUAAUGGUUGAUAUCAAUUUGCAGCUUCAAGUUUUGGAGGCCUUCAAGGUUUUGCUGCAAAUUUCCAAGGGGUUCGUCAACGUUUUGGGGAAAAAUCAAAGGCUAAUUGUUUAAUUUGGGGAAACUACUUCAAAUUUUACUGCCACACUGUAAAAUCGAGAUAAAAAUCAGCUUAAACUUGCAAGUUCGUCUCUAAUUGCUGUCAAUUCGACCAUAAUUUCGUGAAGUCACUCCAAAGUUUCUCAAAGAUGGAGUCACCACUGUUGCAGCCUCGCCGCCAGCCACGACCACCUGCCGCCGCGUGCACCAGCCAUUGCCGCCGGCCAGCCUUCCCUUGAAUCUUUAUUUGGCGGAGAAUUCUCCCUAGGUGACUUUUGAAAGUGUUAAAGUGGCCUAUUAGUUUGUCUACACAAGUCUCUAAGGAUCAAUAAGCAUUGUCCAUCUGCAGGUUUAAAGAUGUUGCAUCAUUGGGAUCGGGAAUAGAGAGCUUGUAUUUAGUUUUGAUUUGCUAAGUUGACUUGGGUUUGUUUAAUUGGACUUUAAACUUGUUAGUUGAUCUUAUUUUCGUUGAUUGGUUUUGGGAUUAACUAUGUAAUCGAUUAUUUAUAAACCUAAAGUUAGUUUUAUGUUUUCCGCUGCAAAAUUCUGAAUAAGCCGUUACGUUUUCA